RNAcentral lists this ribosomal RNA (430 nucleotides) under uncultured bacterium. RNAcentral's name for it is "bacterial SSU rRNA". It matches the Rfam family "Bacterial small subunit ribosomal RNA", at positions 9 to 423 of the family's 1533-position model. The record is from RNAcentral.
GAGUUUGAUCAUGGCUCAGGAUGAACGCUGGCGGCGUGCUUAACACAUGCAAGUCGAACGAAGCACUUGAAUGGAAUUCUUCGGAAGGAAGCUCAAGUGACUGAGUGGCGGACGGGUGAGUAACGCGUGGGUAACCUGCCUCAUACAGGGGGAUAACAGUUGGAAACGGCUGCUAAUACCGCAUAAGCGCACAGUACCGCAUGGUACGGUGUGAAAAACUCCGGUGGUAUGAGAUGGACCCCGCGUCUGAUUAGGUAGUUGGUGGGUAACGGCCUACCAAGCCGACGAUCAGUAGCCGACCUGAGAGGGUGACCGGCCACAUUGGGACUGAGACACGGCCCAAACUCCUACGGGAGCAGCAGUGGGAAUAUUGCACAAUGGGGGAAACCCUGAUGCAGCGACGCCGCGUGAGCGAUGAAGUAUUUCGGUA